CGUAAAGCGCAUGCAGGUGGUUUGUUAAGUCAGAUGUGAAAGCCCGGGGCGUCAACCUCGGAAUAGCAUUUGAAACUGGCAAACUAGAGUACUGUAGAGGGGGGUAGGAAUUUCAGGUGUAGCGGUGAAAUGCGUAGAGAUCUGAAGGAAUACCGGUGGCGAAGGCGGCCCCCUCGGACAGAUACUGACACUCAGAUGCGAAAGCGUGGGGAGCAAACAGGAUUAGAUACCCUGGUAG
Molecule: ribosomal RNA, 238 nt
Filed under: uncultured bacterium
Lineage: Bacteria
Description: partial 16S ribosomal RNA
Rfam family: Bacterial small subunit ribosomal RNA
Source: RNAcentral